Molecule: ribosomal RNA, 253 nt
Filed under: uncultured bacterium
Lineage: Bacteria
Description: partial 16S ribosomal RNA
Rfam family: Bacterial small subunit ribosomal RNA
Source: RNAcentral
UACGGAGGGUGCGAGCGUUGUCCGGAAUCACUGGGCGUAAAGGGCGCGUAGGUGGCGUCGCAAGUCAACGGUGAAAGCUCGACGCUCAACGUCGAGUCGGCUGUCGAGACUGCGAGGCUCGAGCACUGUAGAGGCAGAUGGAAUUCCGGGUGUAGCGGUGGAAUGCGUAGAGAUCCGGAAGAACACCGGUGGCGAAGGCGGUCUGCUGGGCAGUUGCUGACACUGAGGCGCGACAGCGUGGGGAGCAAACAGG